Molecule: ribosomal RNA, 451 nt
Filed under: uncultured bacterium
Lineage: Bacteria
Description: partial 16S ribosomal RNA
Rfam family: Bacterial small subunit ribosomal RNA
Source: RNAcentral
GUGGGGAAUAUUGGACAAUGGGGGGAACCCUGAUCCAGCCAUGCCGCGUGUGUGAAGAAGGCCUUUUGGUUGUAAAGCACUUUAAGCGAGGAGGAGGCUACCGAGAUUAAUACUCUUGGAUAGUGGACGUUACUCGCAGAAUAAGCACCGGCUAACUCUGUGCCAGCAGCCGCGGUAAUACAGAGGGUGCAAGCGUUAAUCGGAUUUACUGGGCGUAAAGCGCGCGUAGGUGGCCAAUUAAGUCAAAUGUGAAAUCCCCGAGCUUAACUUGGGAAUUGCAUUCGAUACUGGUUGGCUAGAGUAUGGGAGAGGAUGGUAGAAUUCCAGGUGUAGCGGUGAAAUGCGUAGAGAUCUGGAGGAAUACCGAUGGCGAAGGCAGCCAUCUGGCCCAAUACUGACACUGAGGUGCGAAAGCAUGGGGAGCAAACAGGAUUAGAUACCCCUGUAGUCC